Molecule: ribosomal RNA, 254 nt
Filed under: uncultured bacterium
Lineage: Bacteria
Description: partial 16S ribosomal RNA
Rfam family: Bacterial small subunit ribosomal RNA
Source: RNAcentral
UACAGAGGGGGCAAGCGUUGUUCGGAAUUACUGGGCGUAAAGGGCGCGUAGGCGGCCUUCUAAGUCGAACGUGAAAUCCCUCGGCUUAACCGGGGAACUGCGUCUGAUACUGGAUGGCUUGAGUUUGGGAGAGGGAUGCGGAAUUCCAGGUGUAGCGGUGAAAUGCGUAGAUAUCUGGAGGAACACCGGUGGCGAAGGCGGCAUCCUGGACCAACACUGACGCUGAGUGAGCGAAAGCCAGGGGAGCAAACGGG